GUGGGGAAUAUUGGUCAAUGGACGAAAGUCUGAACCAGCCAUGCCGCGUGGAGGAUGAAGGUCCUCUGGAUUGUAACUUCUUUUAUCUGGGACGAAAAAAGGUCUUUCUAGAUCGUCUGACGGUACCAGAUGAAUAAGCACCGGCUAACUCCGUGCCAGCAGCCGCGGUAAUACGGAGGGUGCAAGCGUUAUCCGGAUUCACUGGGUUUAAAGGGUGCGUAGGUGGGUUGGUAAGUCAGUGGUGAAAUCUUCGAGCUUAACUCGGAAACUGCCAUUGAUACUAUCAGUCUUGAAUAUUGUGGAGGUUAGCGGAAUAUGUCAUGUAGCGGUGAAAUGCUUAGAUAUGACAUAGAACACCAAUUGCGAAGGCAGCUGGCUACACAUAUAUUGACACUGAGGCACGAAAGCGUGGGGAUCAAACAGGAUUAGAAACCCCGGUAGUCC
RNAcentral lists this ribosomal RNA (444 nucleotides) under uncultured bacterium. Its description in RNAcentral is "partial 16S ribosomal RNA". It matches the Rfam family "Bacterial small subunit ribosomal RNA", at positions 354 to 796 of the family's 1533-position model. The record is from RNAcentral.